AGAGUUUGAUCAUGGCUCAGGAUGAACGCUGGCGGUCUGCUUAACACAUGCAAGUCGAACGGGCUCUUCGGAGCUAGUGGCGGACGGGUGAGGAACACGUGAGAAUCUGCCUACAGGUUCGGGACAACAGUUGGAAACGGCUGCUAAUACCGGAUAAGCCUAUCGGUGAAAGAUUAAUUGCCUGGAGAUGAGCUCGCGUCUGAUUAGCUAGUUGGUGGGGUAAAGGCCUACCAAGGCGACGAUCAGUAGCUGGUCUGAGAGGAUGAUCAGCCACACUGGGACUGAGACACGGCCCAGACUCCUACGGGAGGCAGCAGUGGGGAAUUUUCCGCAAUGGGCGAAAGCCUGACGGAGCAAGACCGCGUGAGGGAGGAAGGCUCUUGGGUUGUAAACCUCUUUUCUCAGGGAAUAACAAUGAAGGUACCUGAGGAAUCAGCAUCGGCUAACUCCGUGCCAGCCGCCGCGGUAAUAC
RNAcentral lists this ribosomal RNA (472 nucleotides) under uncultured bacterium. RNAcentral describes it as "bacterial SSU rRNA". It matches the Rfam family "Bacterial small subunit ribosomal RNA", at positions 8 to 526 of the family's 1533-position model. The record is from RNAcentral.